CCCUUAGAUGUCCUGGGCCGCACGCGCGCUACACUGAUGCAUGCAACGAGUUUAUAACCUUGGCCUGAAAGGUCUGGGUAAUCUUUUGAACGUGCAUCGUGAUAGGGAUAGAUUAUUGCAAUUGUUAAUCUUGAACGAGGAAUUCCUAGUAAACGCGAGUCAUCAGCUCGCAUUGAUUACGUCCCUGCCCUUUGUACACACCGCCCGUCGCACCUACCGAUUGAAUGGUUCGGUGAAGAUCUCGGACUUCGAUAUUUAUACUUUAUUGAGUUUAUAUUGUGGGAAGUUAUCUAAACCUCAUCAUUUAGAGGAAGGUGAAGUCGUAACA
Molecule: ribosomal RNA, 328 nt
Filed under: uncultured eukaryote
Lineage: Eukaryota
Description: partial 18S ribosomal RNA
Rfam family: Eukaryotic small subunit ribosomal RNA
Source: RNAcentral